GAGACCCAUAUGCCGGGAGACUGGCACGUAUGGUUCGGGGGGAGGUAUAUGUCUUCCACAUGGGAGAUGGGUACCGACCCUAC
This is a non-coding RNA of Marchantia polymorpha subsp. polymorpha, 83 nucleotides long. The record is from Rfam. NCBI's taxonomy places the organism in Eukaryota, Viridiplantae, Streptophyta, Marchantiopsida, Marchantiales, Marchantiaceae.